CCUACGGGAGGCAGCAGUGGGGAAUCUUGCGCAAUGGGCGAAAGCCUGACGCAGCCAUGCCGCGUGAAUGAUGAAGGUCUUAGGAUUGUAAAAUUCUUUCACCGAGGACGAUAAUGACGGUACUCGGAGAAGAAGCCCCGGCUAACUUCGUGCCAGCAGCCGCGGUAAUACGAAGGGGGCUAGCGUUGCUCGGAAUUACUGGGCGUAAAGGGAGCGUAGGCGGAUAGUUUAGUCAGAGGUGAAAGCCCAGGGCUCAACCUUGGAAUUGCCUUUGAUACUGGCUAUCUUGAGUACGGAAGAGGUAUGUGGAACUCCGAGUGUAGAGGUGAAAUUCGUAGAUAUUCGGAAGAACACCAGUGGCGAAGGCGACAUACUGGUCCGUUACUGACGCUGAGGCUCGAAAGCGUGGGGAGCAAACAGGAUUAGAUACCCUGGUAGUCCACGCUGUAAACGAUGAGUGCUAGUUGUCGGCAUGCAUGCAUGUCGGUGACGCAGCUAACGCAUUAAGCACUCCGCCUGGGGAGUACGGUCGCAAGAUUAAAACUUAAAGGAAAUUGACGG
This 561-nucleotide ribosomal RNA is filed under the name uncultured bacterium. RNAcentral describes it as "bacterial SSU rRNA". It matches the Rfam family "Bacterial small subunit ribosomal RNA", at positions 338 to 916 of the family's 1533-position model. The record is from RNAcentral.